AGUGAAUAGAUACCCGGGUAGUCCACGCCGUAAACGAUGAACACUAGGUGCUGUGGGUAUCGACCCCUGCGGUGCCGUAGCUAAACGCGUUAAGUGUUCCGCCUGGGGAGUACGGCCGCAAGGCUAAAACUCAAAGGAAUUGACGGGGGCCCGGCACAGGCGGUGGAGCAUGUGGUUUAAUUCGAAGCAACGCGAAGAACCUUACCUGGGCUUGAAGUCCCUCGACGGCCGUAGAAAUACGGUUUCCCCUUCGGGGGCGAGGUGAUAGGUGCUGCAUGGCUGUCGUCAGCUCGUGUCGUGAGAUGUUGGGUUAAGUCCCGCAACGAGCGCAACCCUUGUCUUUAGUUGCCAGCGGUUCGGCCGGGGUCACUCUAGAGAGACUGCCGGUGUCAAGCCGGAGGAAGGUGGGGAUGACGUCAAGUCCUCAUGGCCCUUAUGUCCAGGGCUACACACGUGCUACAAUGG
RNAcentral lists this ribosomal RNA (465 nucleotides) under uncultured bacterium. Its description in RNAcentral is "bacterial SSU rRNA". It matches the Rfam family "Bacterial small subunit ribosomal RNA", at positions 774 to 1233 of the family's 1533-position model. The record is from RNAcentral.